RNAcentral lists this ribosomal RNA (406 nucleotides) under uncultured bacterium. RNAcentral's name for it is "partial 16S ribosomal RNA". It matches the Rfam family "Bacterial small subunit ribosomal RNA", at positions 30 to 526 of the family's 1533-position model. The record is from RNAcentral.
AUUGAACGCUGGCGGCGUGCUUAACACAUGCAAGUUGAACGAAGUGGCGGAUGGGCGAGUAACACGUGAGGAACCUGCCUUUCACAGGGGAAUAACACUGGGAAACCAGUGCUAAUACCGCAUAGUGCAAGAGGGCCUCGCGCCUGAUUAGCUCGUAGGUGCGGUAACGGCUCACCUAGGUGAUGAUCAGUAGCCGGAAUGAAGGUGGAUCGGCCGCAUUGGGACUGAGACACGGCCCAGACUCCUACGGGAGGCAGAAGGGGGGAAUAUUGGGCAAUGGCGCAAGCCUGACCCAGCAACGCCGCGUGAAGGAAGACGGUCUUCGGAUUGUAAACUUCUUGAGACAGGGACGCGGUACCUGUAGAAGAAGCCACGGCUAACUACGUGCCAGCCGCCGCGGUAAUAC